GGGAAGGUGAGAUGUCAUGGGAGGAGCUCUAUAGACUCUUCAGUGUGGGUCACCAUGACCAGGCGGCCCAAGCCCUCAGGGCCCUUCUCAUGUAGAGAGCUGGCUGCAGUUCCCUGGAGACAGGACCCUGCAUUUGAUGGUGGAAUGUCCCUGCCAGGCCCACAAUCUUUUCAGGUCGGUUUUCACAUCUGUGAAGUGGGAACAGCAUUGGUCCCAGACUCCUUUCUGCCUCCCAGGGAUGAUUUGAGAGAGAAUGAGGUCAUGUCUGGCAGAGCUCUGAGAGCCUCAGAGGCAGCCUAAGAUAAACACCAGACCGCCUGGAAGAGCAGACUGCAAGAAACCACGGCUCCACUCCCCCAUUAUCACUGGGAAAAGCACUCCUCCCCUGUUAAGUGGACCUAAUCACCCCUGUGGUGAGGAGCACACAGGCAACAGGAAAGCCCCUUGUAAACUGAGAAGGGCUGCGCAGGCAGAGGGCCCUCCAGGCGCUGUACCCAGCCCUUCUGGAAGUGUGGAGGGGGACAGCAGAAAGUAGGCUUUCUCAAGGCAUUGGAUGGAAGACAGCACACACCAGACUAAGACAGCAGAGGCCCUAAGACUGACAGGAAAAGCUAAGGGAGGAAGGGGUCUGAGGGAGAAGCCACCAGAGCCAGAAACAAAGAAAGUUCUGAGUUAAAGUUGCCCUGUAUCCUCCACUCCCAGAGAGCCACUGGUUGAUCAGGGGGUGGGGGGUGGGGGAGGGCUUCCCAGCAUGGUGGACAAGCAUGGCCAAACUGGUAGACUGCAUAGUACAGGACUCCCAGCAUCCACAGGAGCAAAGCCUGAGGCAGCCAGUUCAGAGCACGUGGACACACAUGCGCAUGUGAGCACAUGUGCAGGAAGGCAGUGUAGGCCACCUUGGA
Hyaena hyaena (striped hyena) is the source of this 902-nucleotide long non-coding RNA. RefSeq lists it as uncharacterized. The record is from RefSeq and is a predicted model, not a curated record. Lineage: Eukaryota; Metazoa; Chordata; Mammalia; Carnivora; Hyaenidae. The transcript has 3 exons.